CGAGUGGCGGACGGGUGAGGAAUACAUCGGAAUCUACUCUGUCGUGGGGGAUAACGUAGGGAAACUUACGCUAAUACCGCAUACGACCUACGGGUGAAAGCAGGGGAUCUUCGGACCUUGCGCGAUUGAAUGAGCCGAUGUCGGAUUAGCUAGUUGGCGGGGUAAAGGCCCACCAAGGCGACGAUCCGUAGCUGGUCUGAGAGGAUGAUCAGCCACACUGGAACUGAGACACGGUCCAGACUCCUACGGGAGGCAGCAGUU
Molecule: ribosomal RNA, 261 nt
Filed under: uncultured Stenotrophomonas sp.
Lineage: Bacteria; Pseudomonadati; Pseudomonadota; Gammaproteobacteria; Lysobacterales; Lysobacteraceae
Description: partial 16S ribosomal RNA
Rfam family: Bacterial small subunit ribosomal RNA
Source: RNAcentral